CUUGAUUUUAAACAUUAGCUUUAAUACAAUAUUUAAAUCUGUUCUUAUCAGUUUAAUAUCUGAUACAUCUUCUAUUUGAGGACUAUAUAUUAAAUGGAUUUUUGGAACAGGGAGAUGGAAUAGGAGCUUGCUCUAUCCACUCCACGCAUUGGCCUGGUAGUGCAGUACCUACAGGAACGGUGCAUCUCCC
This 190-nucleotide small nuclear RNA is filed under the name Terrapene triunguis (Three-toed box turtle). RNAcentral's name for it is "Terrapene carolina triunguis (Three-toed box turtle) U2 spliceosomal RNA (ENSTMTG00000010246.1)". It matches the Rfam family "U2 spliceosomal RNA". Rfam says of the family: U2 is a small nuclear RNA (snRNA) component of the spliceosome (involved in pre-mRNA splicing). Complementary binding between U2 snRNA (in an area lying towards the 5' end but 3' to hairpin I) and the branchpoint sequence (BPS) of the intron results the bulging out of an unpaired adenosine, on the BPS, which initiates a nucleophilic attack at the intronic 5' splice site, thus starting the first of two transesterification reactions that mediate splicing. The record is from Rfam by way of RNAcentral. Lineage: Eukaryota; Metazoa; Chordata; Testudines; Emydidae.